GACAGAGGGUGCAAACGUUGUUCGGAAUUACUGGGCAUAAAGAGCACGUAGGCGGUUCGGCAAGUCGUGCGUGAAAUCCCCCGGCUCAACCGGGGAACGGCGCACGAUACUGCCGAGCUCGAGGUCGGUAGGGGUGAGUGGAACUCCAGGUGGAGCGGUGAAAUGCGUAGAUAUCUGGAGGAACACCGGUGGCGAAAGCGGCUCACUGGACCGAAACUAACGCUGAGGUGCGAAAGCUAGGGGAGCAAACGGG
Molecule: ribosomal RNA, 253 nt
Filed under: uncultured bacterium
Lineage: Bacteria
Description: partial 16S ribosomal RNA
Rfam family: Bacterial small subunit ribosomal RNA
Source: RNAcentral